UCAUAUUGCCUUCUCGAAUUGCACCAAAAUAACUGCGUAAGAUAUGGCCUUGGAGCUUCCUUUUAUUGGAAGAGUAAAAGAAAAACAAGUUGUGAUUGUAUCUUUCUUAAGCUAUUUUACUAGUUCCUCAACCAGUUUUACUUUGUGAUCAAUUUCAGCUUGUGAAGUGGGACCAAUAUAGCUUUGCCUCGGCUAUGGGGCCCGCAGCUGUGGAGCUUCUAACAGCCGGAUUGGAUAGUUAUGCUACCCAAUCUAAACGUGUCGAAGAGUUAUUUGGGAAGAUAUGGCCGCCACCAAAUGUAUAAUUAAUAAAGGCUUAUCAGCCAUAACCAAUAAGGUGUUGCCUCCGUGGAAUAAAGGGAUGCCAAAUGCCCCAAUGCUUACUCAAACCUUCCACGAAUAACCAAUGGAAAGAGGGUGCUCGCUCGUGUUAUGUAACUUUUACUUAUGUCCUUCUGCAGUUAUGUUAUGUUGAAGCGCCAUUUGGUAUCUUAGCUGCUCCGGGGUAUUUCUUAUGAGAACAUUGGAAUACUACUUUCUCGGUAUUUACCGUAAGUCUAUAAUUUCAUACUAAAAUUAACUUCCCCCUUCUUCUUAUGUUUCUUCUUCAAUGUACUUCAGACGAGUUUAAAUUAGAGAUAAUCUUGUUUGGUGUAUAUGAAGUGUAUAGCUCUCAUUUUAUAUUGUUAUAUGGAAAUAUAUGCACAUUUCUGGUGUAGCACGAGUAUAGAUUGACGAAAGAGGAGAGAUAAUUAUAGGGCAUCCCUUAGUUCGAAGAAAAUGCUUACUCUAAAAAUGCAAUUCCCAGUUGGAGAGAGACUGCGCCCGAUGAGUAGUUUUCUUGAUUUAAGUGUUAUCAAAAAAUAUUGCUCCCAGAAAGAAUCCUCUCUCCACUCAUUCUUCUCCUACAACUUUUAGAGGGUGUUUGGCUAAGCUUAUUUUAAAUAUGGGUAAAUUUCACUUUCCCCCCUUGUACUUUGGCUGGAUAUUAUUUGACCCUCUUGUACUCUCAA
RNAcentral lists this long non-coding RNA (1013 nucleotides) under Erythranthe guttata (spotted monkey flower). RNAcentral describes it as "long non-coding RNA (EGUT_LNC002950)". Lineage: Eukaryota; Viridiplantae; Streptophyta; Magnoliopsida; Lamiales; Phrymaceae. The record is from RNAcentral.